CCCUUAGAUGUUCUGGGCUGCACGCGCGCUACACUGAAGCUAUCAACACGGUUUCCCUCCCUGAGAAGGGCGGGUAACCUUUUGAAUCAGCUUCGUGGUAGGGAUCGGGGCUUGCAAUUGUUCCCCGUGAACCAGGAAUUCCUAGUAGACGCGAGUCAUAAGCUCGCAUCGAUUAAGUCCCUGCCCUUUGUACACACCGCCCGUCGCUACUACCGAUUGAACGUUUUAGUGAGGCAUUUGGACCGACGCAUCUCAGUUUAACCGCUGGUUUGUGUUGGAAAGACUUCCAAACUUGAGCGUUUAGAGGAAGUAAAAGUCGUAACA
Molecule: ribosomal RNA, 324 nt
Filed under: uncultured eukaryote
Lineage: Eukaryota
Description: partial 18S ribosomal RNA
Rfam family: Eukaryotic small subunit ribosomal RNA
Source: RNAcentral